Small nuclear RNA from Lepisosteus oculatus (spotted gar), 170 nucleotides. Its record names the gene U2. It matches the Rfam family "U2 spliceosomal RNA". From Rfam's summary of the family: U2 is a small nuclear RNA (snRNA) component of the spliceosome (involved in pre-mRNA splicing). NCBI's taxonomy places the organism in Eukaryota, Metazoa, Chordata, Actinopteri, Semionotiformes, Lepisosteidae. The record is from Ensembl.
AUAUUUUGUAAAAAAAAGAAUGCUCUUUCAGUUUAAUAUCUUGAUACGUCCCCCAUCGGAGGACUACAUAUUAAACCGUUUUUGGAACAGGGAGCUGGAUCAGGAGCUUGCUCCAUCCUCUCCACACAUCGGCCCGGUAUUGCAGCACCUCCGGGAACGGUGCACCACCU